AUUGAACGCUGGCGGCAGGCCUAACACAUGCAAGUCGAGCGGAUGAAGGGAGCUUGCUCCUGGAUUCAGCGGCGGACGGGUGAGUAAUGCCUAGGAAUCUGCCUGGUAGUGGGGGAUAACGUCCGGAAACGGGCGCUAAUACCGCAUACGUCCUGAGGGAGAAAGUGGGGGAUCUUCGGACCUCACGCUAUCAGAUGAGCCUAGGUCGGAUUAGCUAGUUGGUGGGGUAAAGGCCUACCAAGGCGACGAUCCGUAACUGAUCUGAGAGGAUGAUCAGUCACACUGGAACUGAGACACGGUCCAGACUCCUACGGGAGGCAGCAGUGGGGAAUAUUGGACAAUGGGCGAAAGCCUGAUCCAGCCAUGCCGCGUGUGUGAAGAAGGUCUUCGGAUUGUAAAGCACUUUAAGCUGGGAGGAAGGGCAGUAAGUUAAUACCUUGCUGUUUUGACGUUACCAACAGAAUAAGCACCGGCUAACUUCGUG
Molecule: ribosomal RNA, 484 nt
Filed under: uncultured bacterium
Lineage: Bacteria
Description: partial 16S ribosomal RNA
Rfam family: Bacterial small subunit ribosomal RNA
Source: RNAcentral